This is a long non-coding RNA of Pocillopora damicornis (cauliflower coral), 688 nucleotides long. The record is from RefSeq and is a predicted model, not a curated record. Lineage: Eukaryota; Metazoa; Cnidaria; Anthozoa; Scleractinia; Pocilloporidae.
CACGUGGAAGGAGCUUACGAACCGCAAGAAAUUUCAGCGUAUUUUCCAGCUUUUAUGGAUUUAAGAAACACGUUAUAUUGACCUUAUUACCUUGGAUAUCGUCAGUUCUGUCAAGGUUGGUGAGUGUUUCUUAUGCCGAAUCGCGUGGCUAACAUUCGACGUCGAGGAUUCAUGACUUCAAUUUUGUCAAGACUUUUCUUCAGAAAGUAAUUGCCAACUGUGGACUUUAGGUUCAAAUUUAUUUCUGAUUGUUUUGCGGUGAAAUCCUUUUGUUGGCUGAUGCAGAGUCAAUUAGGUUUUUUGUUUCCUUUUUCCCACGGCUUUUGGUUCGUAGUGCUGCUGAUUUCAUGAGAUGGUUGAUUAAGGGUUGACCCACCUAGGAGUCGGUAUCGUUCAAAAAAAAAUAUAGAAAAGAUUAAAAGGAUUCAAGGGAAAGUGGGAAAUUGGAUGUAUAUUUACGUCUUGGAUUUCAGUGGAUUAUGAUCGCCUCCAUGAGGUGUCCAAGGCGAGUGGUUUGUUAGCAUUGAGAAGCUGCACGUGAUCAGUUGAAGCAGAAGCACACAACACAGAAGCAUCAUUUUAGGUACCGAGGUUACAAAGUUAAAAAGGUCAUGAGGGACACGUGUUGAGCUUAAUUACAGCUGAAUAGAGAUUUGUUAUUGAGAAUUCAUGAAGAAUGACCAAAAAA